GUCCAAGCCGUAAACGAUGAGUACUAGGUAGCGGAGGCCUCGUCGCCUUCGCUGCUGGAGCAAAUGUAUUAAGUACUCCGCCUGGGGGAGUACAGUCGCAAGGCCGAAAACUCAAAAGGAAUUGACGGGGGGCUCACACAAGCGGUGGAGCAUGUGGUUCAAUUCGAAGCAACGCGCAAAAACCUUACCUGGGUUUGACAUGCACGGAUUAGUUCUUGGAAACAGGAAUGACGGCCGAAAGGCUGGAACGUGCACAGGUGCUGCAUGGCUGUCGU
This 275-nucleotide ribosomal RNA is filed under the name uncultured bacterium. RNAcentral's name for it is "partial 16S ribosomal RNA". It matches the Rfam family "Bacterial small subunit ribosomal RNA", at positions 793 to 1055 of the family's 1533-position model. The record is from RNAcentral.